GGGGUUGUAGCUCAGUGGCAGAGUGCUUUCCUAGCAUGUGUGAGGCCCUGGGUUCUAUUCUCAGCAACUUAA
RNAcentral lists this transfer RNA (72 nucleotides) under Marmota monax (woodchuck). It matches the Rfam family "tRNA". From Rfam's summary of the family: Transfer RNA (tRNA) molecules are approximately 80 nucleotides in length. Their secondary structure includes four short double-helical elements and three loops (D, anti-codon, and T loops). Lineage: Eukaryota; Metazoa; Chordata; Mammalia; Rodentia; Sciuridae. The record is from Rfam by way of RNAcentral.